GAUGAACGCUGGCGGCGUGCUUAACACAUGCAAGUCGAACGAAACACCUUAUUUGAUUUUCUUCGGAACUGAAGAUUUGGUGAUUGAGUGGCGGACGGGUGAGUAACGCGUGGGUAACCUGCCCUGUACAGGGGGAUAACAGUCAGAAAUGACUGCUAAUACCGCAUAAGACCACAGCACCGCAUGGUGCAGGGGUAAAAACUCCGGUGGUACAGGAUGGACCCGCGUCUGAUUAGCUGGUUGGUGAGGUAACGGCUCACCAAGGCGACGAUCAGUAGCCGGCUUGAGAGAGUGAACGGCCACAGUGGGACUGAGACACGGCCCAAACUCCUACGGGAGGCAGCAGUGGGGAAUAUUGCACAAUGGGGGAAACCCUGAUGCAGCGACGCCGCGUGAGUGAAGAAGUAUUUCGGUAUGUAAAGCUCUAUCAGCAGGGAAGAAAAUGACGGUACCUGACUAAGAAGCCCCGGCUAACUACGUG
This 481-nucleotide ribosomal RNA is filed under the name uncultured bacterium. Its description in RNAcentral is "partial 16S ribosomal RNA". It matches the Rfam family "Bacterial small subunit ribosomal RNA", at positions 28 to 507 of the family's 1533-position model. The record is from RNAcentral.